RNAcentral lists this ribosomal RNA (536 nucleotides) under Rhizomucor pusillus. Its description in RNAcentral is "partial large subunit ribosomal RNA". It matches the Rfam family "Eukaryotic large subunit ribosomal RNA", at positions 100 to 656 of the family's 3401-position model. Lineage: Eukaryota; Fungi; Mucoromycota; Mucoromycetes; Mucorales; Lichtheimiaceae. The record is from RNAcentral.
GGGUAAAGCUCAAGUUUAAAACCUGUUUGUCCUAGACAAACCGGAUUGUAAACUAAGGACGUGCUAUCCAGGCUCUUUGGACCUUCAAGUCCUUUGGAAUAAGGCUUCACAGAGGGUGACAAUCCCGUAGAGGGUCUUGAAAGAGUCUAUUGCGAUGCAUGCUCCAAGAGUCAGGUUGUUUGGGAAUGCAGCCUAAAGUGGGAGGUAAAUCCCUCCUAAAGCUAAAUAUUGGCGAGAGACCGAUAGCAAACAAGUACCGUGAGGGAAAGUUGAAAAGGACUUUGAAAAGAGAGUCAAAAGUACGUGAAAUUGCUUAAAGGGAAGCGUUUGGAGCUAGUUUGGCUAGUCUGUUAUCAGCCUGAGCUUCGGCUUUGGUGUACUAUCAGGCUAUUUGCCGGCCAACUUUCAGGAUUGGAAGGAAAGCUUAGUGCUUUGGAGUCUAAAGAGACCUUUGCGGAAGCCUCUGGUGGAGCGUUGGUCUGCCUUGGCCCUUCUGAACCUAUAGUUGGCUUAAUGGCUCUAAACGGCCCGUCUUG